This 253-nucleotide ribosomal RNA is filed under the name uncultured bacterium. RNAcentral's name for it is "partial 16S ribosomal RNA". It matches the Rfam family "Bacterial small subunit ribosomal RNA", at positions 524 to 776 of the family's 1533-position model. The record is from RNAcentral.
UACGGAGGGUGCAAGCGUUGUCCGGAAUUACUGGGCGUAAAGCGUGCGCAGGCGGUGAGCUGUGUCCGAUGUGAAAGCCCCGGGCUUAACCUUGGAAUGGCAUUGGAAACUGGCUCGCUGGAGUGUGGCAGAGGGGGGUGGAAUUCCGCGUGUAGCAGUGAAAUGCGUAGAGAUGCGGAGGAACACCGAUGGCGAAAGCAGUCCCCUAGGCUAAAACUGACGCUCAGGCACGAAAGCGUGGGGAGCAAACAGG